GAUUGGGAAUGCUUGCUUCAGGCUGGUAGAGGAGGCAGCCAGGAGACAUACAACUUGCAGGAGCAGUGGCUACUGGACCAUGGGUGGAAAAGACUGGCAAAGAUCUAUUUCCAGUUCAAUCAGAUGGACAGAGGUGCGGGAUCUACAUGCUCAUG
This is a long non-coding RNA of Alosa alosa (allis shad), 155 nucleotides long. RefSeq lists it as uncharacterized. The transcript is spliced from 3 exons. The record is from RefSeq and is a predicted model, not a curated record. Lineage: Eukaryota; Metazoa; Chordata; Actinopteri; Clupeiformes; Clupeidae.